Molecule: ribosomal RNA, 403 nt
Filed under: uncultured bacterium
Lineage: Bacteria
Description: bacterial SSU rRNA
Rfam family: Bacterial small subunit ribosomal RNA
Source: RNAcentral
GACGAACGCUGGCGGCGUGCUUAACACAUGCAAGUCGAGCGGUAAGGCCCCUUCGGGGGUACGACGAGCGGCGAACGGGUGAGUAACACGUGGGUGACCUGCCCUCAGCUCUGGGGAUAAGCCUGGGAAACUGGGUCUAAUACCGGAUAUGACUCCAUGACGCAUGUCGUGGGGUGGAAAGCCUUGUGCGGCUGGGGGAUGGGCCCGCGGCCUAUCAGCUUGUUGGUGGGGUGAGGCCUACCAAGGCGACGACGGGUAGCCGGCCUGAGAGGGCGACCGGCCACACUGGGACUGAGACACGGCCCAGACUCCUACGGGAGGCAGCAGUGGGGAAUCUUGCGCAAUGGGCGAAAGCCUGACGCAGCGACGCCGCGUGAGGGAUGACGGCCUGGUUGUAACGUAC